GGAGAAAGGGAGAGUCACCGACCAAUCACUGACUGAGGUUUAAUUAAAUCAGCAAAAGUUUCUGAUAUCAGGUUCAGGUGUGUGUUCACCUGGUUACAGUUAGUUCAGGUGUGUGUUCACCUGGUCACAGGUAGUUCAGGUGUGUGUUCGCCUGGUCACAGGUAGUUCAGAUGUUUGUUCGCCUGGUUACAGUUAGUUCAGGUGUGUGUUCACCUGGUCACGGGUAGUUCAGGUGUGUGUUCGCCUGGUUACAGGUAGUUCAGGUGUGUGUUCACCUGGUUACGGGUAGUUCAGGUGUGUGUUCACCUGGUGUGUGUUCACCUGGUUACGGGUAGUUCAGGUGUGUGUUCACCUGGUUACAGGUAGUUCAGGUGUGUGUUCACCUGGUUACAGGUAGUUCAGGUGUGUGUUCACCUGGUUACGGGUAG
Labrus mixtus (cuckoo wrasse) is the source of this 428-nucleotide long non-coding RNA. RefSeq lists it as uncharacterized. Lineage: Eukaryota; Metazoa; Chordata; Actinopteri; Labriformes; Labridae. The transcript is spliced from 3 exons. The record is from RefSeq and is a predicted model, not a curated record.